Molecule: long non-coding RNA, 1024 nt
Filed under: Gallus gallus (chicken)
Lineage: Eukaryota; Metazoa; Chordata; Aves; Galliformes; Phasianidae
Description: long non-coding RNA NONGGAT008088
Source: RNAcentral
CCCCAAUCCGUUUUCUUUUGAAAAAUUAGCCCAAACUUCAUAUCCAUUUACCUGAUGAACGAAUUGAUAUGUCAGGCAGUACCUGGACAAUCAGGGCCCAGCUCUGUCAUGGAAACACAGUAAGAAGUGAUUGCCUAGGGCAAAAAUCCCACCACCCAACCAACCGAUGUUCCCUGGCCAUGUGAUGCCUGUGGGCUGGUGACGGCAGAGGUUUUGUCCCUUUGCCCCAGUGAGCAGGACACCUAGGAGCAGCUGUCUGAACGGGUGAAGAAGCACUAAGGCAAGCAGCGAGCUUGACAACCUGUAGAGGAUCUCUGCAGAAUAUAAAAGAUACCUUGGUAUAAUACAUGGUAACGUGGUUGUGGUGUGGUGCUGCUGCCACGUCAACACUAGGAAAGACCAUUCUUCAGUUACAGAUGUGUUUUGUAGCCAUUUUACUGUAGUAGUUUUCCCCUAUAUUUUUGCUGCAUUGUUCAUGUAUGUAUUGAAGCCAUUUUCAGGGGUGGCGAAUGAUAAACCGACGUUAUGCCCUUAGAGUUUUGUUUUGUUUCAUUUCGGGGGAAGUUUCUUAAGCCAUAGGUUUUGGAAUAAAGAACAUUUCUCAGUACUAGAUGGAAUGGGUUGCUCAGCUUUUUUAAUUGAUUCUAUUUAAUCCACUCUCCAUUGUUUCCUGAGCAGCUAAGUUAGUCACCUGAAAUUGCUUUUCUCUUAAACACAACGUUAGCAUUUUAAACCAGGUAUGUUAAGAAUUGACUUUUUGCUAACUGGUAGUAUUUAAAAUGUAUCAUCUGAAAGUACCUGCUGGAAAGAAUAAAGGGAAAAAAAAAACAAAAACACGUCGUUAUUAGCAAUAUGUUUGGAGCAGUGUUUGCAUCUGCUUUGUACAGUAAUGGAGCGUUAAAGUGGAUGGUUGACAUGUUGGAGCUUAGAGAAGCGUUCGGUUUCUAAGCAGAACUUAGAUGAGAAAACACAAUUUUUACCCAUCACCCAAAUGUUGGACAUACGAGACAGUUUUAAAUCUAUG